UGGGGAAUAUUGGACAAUGGGCGAAAGCCUGAUCCAGCCAUGCCGCGUGUGUGAAGAAGGUCUUCGGAUUGUAAAGCACUUUAAGUUGGGAGGAAGGGCAGUAAGCGAAUACCUUGCUGUUUUGACGUUACCGACAGAAGAAGCACCGGCUAACUCUGUGCCAGCAGCCGCGGUAAUACAGAGGGUGCAAGCGUUAAUGGGAAUUACUGGGCGUAAAGCGCGCGUAGGUGGUUCGUUAAGUUGAAUGUGAAAGCCCCGGGCUCAACCUGGGAACUGCAUCCAAAACUGGCGAGCUAGAGUAGGGCAGAGGGUGGUGGAAUUUCCUGUGUAGCAGUGAAAUGCGUAGAUAUAGGAAGGAACACCAGUGGCGAAGGCGACCACCUGGACUCAUACUAACACUGAGGUGCGAAAGCGUGGGGAGCAAACAGG
Molecule: ribosomal RNA, 429 nt
Filed under: Pseudomonadota bacterium
Lineage: Bacteria; Pseudomonadati; Pseudomonadota
Description: Proteobacteria bacterium partial 16S ribosomal RNA
Rfam family: Bacterial small subunit ribosomal RNA
Source: RNAcentral